RNAcentral lists this ribosomal RNA (492 nucleotides) under Bromeliohyla melacaena. RNAcentral describes it as "partial 12S ribosomal RNA". It matches the Rfam family "Bacterial small subunit ribosomal RNA", at positions 794 to 1522 of the family's 1533-position model. The record is from RNAcentral. Lineage: Eukaryota; Metazoa; Chordata; Amphibia; Anura; Hylidae.
GCCCAGUCGUAAACUUUUAUUUACAUUCACAUCGCCUGGGAACUACGAGCCAAGCUUAAAACCCAAAGGACUUGACGGUAUUCCACAUCCACCUAGAGGAGCCUGUCCUAUAAUCGAUAAUCCCCGCUAAACCUCACCAUUUUUAGCAUAACAACCUGUAUACCUCCGUCGUCAGCCCACCUCGUGAGUGAUCCUCAGUGCGCUUAAUGUCAUUUCAUCAAUACGUCAGGUCAAGGUGCAGUAAAUAAAAUGGGAAGAGAUGGGCUACACUCUCUAACUUAGAGUAUACGAAAGACUACAUAUGAAACUUAGUCGGAAGGCGGAUUUAGAAGUAAAAAAAGACCAUAAAGCUUUUUUUAACAUGGCACUGGAAUGCGUACACACCGCCCGUCACCCUCUUCACAGGCCAUAAAAUUAGUACUUAACAUAAAAUAGCUUUCUAGAAGAGGCAAGUCGUAACAUGGUAAGUGUACCGGAAGGUGCACUUGGAAA